Molecule: long non-coding RNA, 291 nt
Filed under: Mytilus galloprovincialis (Mediterranean mussel)
Lineage: Eukaryota; Metazoa; Mollusca; Bivalvia; Mytilida; Mytilidae
Source: RNAcentral
AAAUUUCUUGAUUGAUUCAGUGGUUAAGUGCAUGUGUAUUAUAUGUCAUAAUGUCCUUCUACUAGACUACUAACGUGCCAAGGUUUUCCUUCACCUCUAGAACUACGAUUUCAAACCAAUUUCGUCCAAACUUGGUAUGAAUGAGCCUUAGGGAAUUUUCUCUUCUUUUUUAUUCGUUCAGACAACAAAUAUGGCCACCAUGCAUGUCUAAAAUAGAACAUAGGUAAUUAUUUUAUAUCUCAGAAAUCAUUAUAGAUAGAAAAUGUCUGACAUGGGCAAAAACAAUCGACC